Molecule: ribosomal RNA, 467 nt
Filed under: uncultured bacterium
Lineage: Bacteria
Description: partial 16S ribosomal RNA
Rfam family: Bacterial small subunit ribosomal RNA
Source: RNAcentral
GACGAACGCUGGCGGCGUGCUUAACACAUGCAAGUCGAACGGAAAGGCCCUGCUUUUGUGGGGUGCUCGAGUGGCGAACGGGUGAGUAACACGUGAGUAACCUGCCCUUGACUUUGGGAUAACUUCAGGAAACUGGGGCUAAUACCGGAUAGGAGCUCCUGCUGCAUGGUGGGGGUUGGAAAGUUUCGGCGGUUGGGGAUGGACUCGCGGCUUAUCAGCUUGUUGGUGGGGUAGUGGCUUACCAAGGCUUUGACGGGUAGCCGGCCUGAGAGGGUGACCGGCCACAUUGGGACUGGGAUACGGCCCAGACUCCUACGGGAGGAAGCAGUGGGGAAUAUUGCACAAUGGGCGGAAGCCUGAUGCAGCAACGCCGCGUGCGGGAGGACGGCCUUCGGGUUGUAAACCGCUUUCGCCUGUGACGAAGCGUGAGUGACGGUAAUGGGUAAAGAAGCACCGGCUAACUACGU